This 148-nucleotide non-coding RNA is filed under the name Homo sapiens (human). The record is from Rfam by way of RNAcentral. Lineage: Eukaryota; Metazoa; Chordata; Mammalia; Primates; Hominidae.
GCUGGGUGUGGUGGCGUGCACCUGUAAUCCCAGCUACUUGGGAGGCUGAGGCAGGAGAAUCGCUUGAAUCCGGGAGGCAGAGGUUGCAGUGGGCAGAGAUCAUGCCACUGCACUCCAGCCUGGGCGACAGAGCAAGACUCUGUCUCAA